CCUCUUCUUGUUUUUAGCCGUAUGUUACGAGUCCGGGAAGCCUCCUCAAUAUGAGGGAUCCCUCAAAAUCAAAAUAGAGAAGGGCGGGCGGGGCUUCCGCAAGAGCCUCCCCCCUCUUCCCGGUCAAGAUAGAUGGGAAGGAGCCCUAUCAAGUCAAGUAAAGGCCAUAACCAGCCUCUUUAUUUAUGUACGUACACUUUUGUUUCAGGGUGGGGCCGCCCUUCCUCCUGCUAAUCCGNN
RNAcentral lists this long non-coding RNA (240 nucleotides) under Olea europaea (common olive). RNAcentral's name for it is "long non-coding RNA (OEUR_LNC014027)". Lineage: Eukaryota; Viridiplantae; Streptophyta; Magnoliopsida; Lamiales; Oleaceae. The record is from RNAcentral.